RNAcentral lists this ribosomal RNA (253 nucleotides) under uncultured bacterium. Its description in RNAcentral is "partial 16S ribosomal RNA". It matches the Rfam family "Bacterial small subunit ribosomal RNA", at positions 524 to 776 of the family's 1533-position model. The record is from RNAcentral.
UACGUAGGGGGCUAGCGUUGUCCGGAAUCAUUGGGCGUAAAGAGCGUGUAGGCGGCCCGGUAAGUCCGCUGUGAAAGUCGGGGGCUCAACCCUCGAAUGCCGGUGGAUACUGUCGAGCUCGAGUCCGGAAGAGGCGAGUGGAAUUCCUGGUGUAGCGGUGAAAUGCGCAGAUAUCAGGAGGAACACCAAUGGCGAAGGCAGCUCGCUGGGACGUGACUGACGCUGAGACGCGAAAGCGUGGGGAGCAAACAGG